RNAcentral lists this ribosomal RNA (1150 nucleotides) under Paeniglutamicibacter antarcticus. RNAcentral describes it as "bacterial SSU rRNA". It matches the Rfam family "Bacterial small subunit ribosomal RNA", at positions 271 to 1430 of the family's 1533-position model. The record is from RNAcentral. Lineage: Bacteria; Bacillati; Actinomycetota; Actinomycetes; Micrococcales; Micrococcaceae.
AGGCGACGACGGGUAGCCGGCCUGAGAGGGUGACCGGCCACAUUGGGACUGAGACACGGCCCAGACUCCUACGGGAGGCAGCAGUGGGGAAUAUUGCACAAUGGGCGAAAGCCUGAUGCAGCGACGCCGCGUGAGGGAUGACGGCCUUCGGGUUGUAAACCUCUUUCAGUAGGGAAGAAGCGAAAGUGACGGUACCUGCAGAAGAAGCGCCGGCUAACUACGUGCCAGCAGCCGCGGUAAUACGUAGGGCGCAAGCGUUAUCCGGAAUUAUUGGGCGUAAAGAGCUCGUAGGCGGUUUGUCGCGUCUGCCGUGAAAGUCCGAGGCUCAACUUCGGAUCUGCGGUGGGUACGGGCAGACUAGAGUGAUGUAGGGGAGACUGGAAUUCCUGGUGUAGCGGUGAAAUGCGCAGAUAUCAGGAGGAACACCGAUGGCGAAGACAGGUCUCUGGGCAUCUACUGACGCUGAGGAGCGAAAGCAUGGGGAGCGAACGGGAUUAGAUACCCUGGUAGUCCAUGCCGUAAACGUUGGGCACUAGGUGUGGGGGACAUUCCACGUUUUCCGCGCCGUAGCUAACGCAUUAAGUGCCCCGCCUGGGGAGUACGGCCGCAAGGCUAAAACUCAAAGGAAUUGACGGGGGCCCGCACAAGCGGCGGAGCAUGCGGAUUAAUUCGAUGCAACGCGAAGAACCUUACCAAGGCUUGACAUGUGCUAGAUCGCCAUAGAAAUAUGGUUUCCCCUUUGGGGCUGGUUCACAGGUGGUGCAUGGUUGUCGUCAGCUCGUGUCGUGAGAUGUUGGGUUGAGUCCCGCAACGAGCGCAACCCUCGUUCUAUGUUGCCAGCACGUUAUGGUGGGGACUCAUAGGAGACUGCCGGGGUCAACUCGGAGGAAGGUGGGGACGACGUCAAAUCAUCAUGCCCCUUAUGUCUUGGGCUUCACGCAUGCUACAAUGGCCGGUACAAUGGGCUGCGAUACUGUGAGGUGGAGCUAAUCCCAAAAAGCCGGUCUCAGUUCGGAUUGGGGUCUGCAACUCGACCCCAUGAAGUCGGAGUCGCUAGUAAUCGCAGAUCAGCAACGCUGCGGUGAAUACGUUCCCGGGCCUUGUACACACCGCCCGUCAAGUCACGAAAGUUGGUAACACCCGAAGCCGG